UGAAGCUAAAUUUGUAUGGAGAUGGAACCUUUGCCUACGUAUGCCGCUAGGGGCGCUGUUCCAACUUCAAACAAAUUUGAGCUA
RNAcentral lists this microRNA precursor (84 nucleotides) under Bombyx mori (domestic silkworm). RNAcentral's name for it is "mir-2807 microRNA precursor family". It matches the Rfam family "mir-2807 microRNA precursor family". The record is from Rfam by way of RNAcentral. Lineage: Eukaryota; Metazoa; Arthropoda; Insecta; Lepidoptera; Bombycidae.